Seriola aureovittata is the source of this 1286-nucleotide long non-coding RNA. RefSeq lists it as uncharacterized. Lineage: Eukaryota; Metazoa; Chordata; Actinopteri; Carangiformes; Carangidae. The transcript has 3 exons. The record is from RefSeq and is a predicted model, not a curated record.
UUGUUUUCUCAUUUGCGUUAACGUGAAGUCACAUGGUAAAAAGAGAUACUUGUCACAUUUCGGAGACACGCUGAGGCACGUUGCUGGAAUCAUAAACGGUGGUUACAGUGGACGCAGCAUUUGCAAAGUUUGGUGUGCCAGCUGUGACAGAGGGUGUAAAGGUUGUUGACAGUUCGGGGACUGAGUUGGAUGACGAUGUAUUUGAGGAUGUAGUUAAGGAUCCCUCAGCUGGAGUGCUGACCAUCAAAUAUGACACAGAAUCUGUCUCCAUGGUACCAUCUCCUGAGCAGUCUGAACCACCAACCCUUGAUUCGUCUGAUUCUCUAAGAUACAGACAUCCUUUCAGAGAGUCCUCCCGGUAAACGGCAGAGGCUGGACACAGAAGCCAAGCACGUAAGAAUUAACACACAAACACCAGAGCAGAACAGGAAUUAUUUUUAGGGCACCAAGGCCAUAAAAAAGAAUAUAGUGUUAUUUUAAUGACCAUUUGUUUUUAAGAUCUUUUUGUAAAUCCCUACUUAUUAAAGGGAUGUAUUCUCAACAUGCUGAUUUGUUUUGCUCUUUGUUUGAAGUUGGUGGAAUCCAUUCUUGCCAAGAAACCUGGUGGGGAACGCAUAAUAAAUGAAUACAAUUGAAGCAAGUCCCUGACAGAUGAAACCAGAGAGAGAAAUAUUUACUUUUUUAAUCUUGCAGUACAUCACCACAUCACUUCAAAUUCCAAUUUUUGAACAUGCGAUUCAUGGUACUGUAGUUCAGGUCACUGGGGACAGUCUUGGUUUACAUGGUCUGUUUGGCUUUGAUGAGUCAUUUGGGGCUUGAUAUUGCUGUCGUUUCUGUCUCCUUGAGAAACACUGUUUUCAAACUGUAUUCUGUGAAGAUGAGCCGGAAGUUGUUUUAAGAACUGUUGAUGUGCAUGAACAGCACUGUCAGACUGUACAAACAGAUCCUAGGCUACCUCAUGUAUAUGGUGUGAAACGCGUUUGUCUGUUGAAUUCACUUCAGUAUUUCAACACAGCCAACAACUUCGCUGUAGAUAUAAUGCAUGAUAUUUUAGGGGGGGGGUUGGUCAGUUUGAGGUGAAACGGAUUCUGAAGUACAUUCAAGGCAACUUCCUAAGUGCUGAACAAGUGGCUGGUAGAAUACAUGCAUAUGACUAUGGUUUCAAUCAGCAGCGACACCGUCCACCUCUGCCAACAGAUAAGUUGAUGGUUGGAAGUAAUGAUUUGGGGUUGAAUGCCAUACAGUCUUGGUGCUUGUUAUGCAAUAUGGCACGGCAGGCACACCCA